Molecule: ribosomal RNA, 467 nt
Filed under: uncultured bacterium
Lineage: Bacteria
Description: partial 16S ribosomal RNA
Rfam family: Bacterial small subunit ribosomal RNA
Source: RNAcentral
GAUGAACGCUGGCGGCGUGCUUAACACAUGCAAGUCGAACGGAAAGGCCCAAGCUUGCUUGGGUACUCGAGUGGCGAACGGGUGAGUAACACGUGGGUGAUCUGCCCUGCACUUCGGGAUAAGCCUGGGAAACUGGGUCUAAUACCGGAUAGGACCACUUCUUGGAUGUUGUGGUGGAAAGUUUUUUCGGUGUGGGAUGAGCUCGCGGCCUAUCAGCUUGUUGGUGGGGUAAUGGCCUACCAAGGCGUCGACGGGUAGCCGGCCUGAGAGGGUGUACGGCCACAUUGGGACUGAGAUACGGCCCAGACUCCUACGGGAGGCAGCAGUGGGGAAUAUUGCACAAUGGGCGCAAGCCUGAUGCAGCGACGCCGCGUGGGGGAUGACGGCCUUCGGGUUGUAAACUCCUUUCGCUAGGGACGAAGCAUUUUGUGACGGUACCUGGAGAAGAAGCACCGGCUAACUACGUG